RNAcentral lists this ribosomal RNA (247 nucleotides) under uncultured bacterium. RNAcentral describes it as "partial 16S ribosomal RNA". It matches the Rfam family "Bacterial small subunit ribosomal RNA", at positions 57 to 305 of the family's 1533-position model. The record is from RNAcentral.
GCAAGUCGAGGGGCAGCAUUGCCUUCGGGUAGAUGGCGACCGGCGCACGGGUGCGUAACGCGUAUACAAUCUACCUUGUACUGAGGGAUAGCCCGAAGAAAUUUGGAUUAAGACCUCAUGGUACCGGGACACCGCAUGGUGAUCCGGUUAAAGGUUACGGUACGAGAUGAGUAUGCGUCCCAUUAGCUGGUAGGUGAGGUAACGGCUCACCUAGGCUACGAUGGGUAGGGGUCCUGAGAGGGAGAUC